GAGAGAGAGCUGCGUGGUUAUGACGGAAUGAUGCAAACAAGAUCCAAUUAGGAUGUUAUGAAAAAGUCAAGGCCUCUUACCUUGUACACUGGCGGUGUGCAUCGCAGGACGUUCGCAAUCUAGUAAGAGACUACUGUUCAUACAGGUUCAUCUUCUAUGAAACUGCAUGAUCUAAAUGUUGUGUUUUAUUCCCUCCUUCACAGAACCUAUCAGGUCCCAGUGCUGACAUCGGCAGGAACCCAGCGCUUAGAGACUCUCUAAAUCACUGCAGUUCCUAAUGGAGCCCCCACCUCCACCACCAGCCCCACCUCCAGCCUCCUGUCAUACCCUGCCAGCACCCAUCACUUCUCCCAAACAGCCUGCUUCUACUGGCUAUUAAUCACAUGUACUGAUAUAAAAGGAUUCAGCAAAACUACCACAUGACCUUAUCUUUUUUGGUCAGUCAAUCUGUCAUCACAUUUCAAAUUCAAACAAAGUCAUAAAUAUAUGCAUAGCACAUGAGAUCACACUGGCUUAUAUUACACGCCUGCCUACAUAGAAACUAGCUUUAGUAAGCACUUAAAGGAAAAGUAAUUCAGAGCUCAAAUUCACUUGUAUAGAGAAAUGCUUGCAGAGACAAAUGUUCUCAGAUACAAUCACACUAUUAAAUUUACAUUCAUCACAGCAUCAAAACAUAACAAGGCCCCGUGCUCACUCGUGAUAAAGUGUCAAAGUGACGUGGUCAC
Molecule: non-coding RNA, 725 nt
Organism: Electrophorus electricus (electric eel)
Lineage: Eukaryota; Metazoa; Chordata; Actinopteri; Gymnotiformes; Gymnotidae
Source: RefSeq, a predicted model, not a curated record